UGCUCGAGUGGCGAACGGGUGAGUAACACGUGAGUAACCUGCCCUUGACUUUGGGAUAACUUCAGGAAACUGGGGCUAAUACCGGAUAGGAGCUCCUGCUGCAUGGUGGGGGUUGGAAAGUUUCGGCGGUUGGGGAUGGACUGCGGCUUAUCAGCUUGUUGGUGGGGUAGUGGCUUACCAAGGCUUUGACGGGUAGCCGGCCUGAGAGGGUGACCGGCCACAUUGGGACUGAGAUACGGCCCAG
RNAcentral lists this ribosomal RNA (244 nucleotides) under uncultured Actinomycetales bacterium. RNAcentral's name for it is "partial 16S ribosomal RNA". It matches the Rfam family "Bacterial small subunit ribosomal RNA", at positions 88 to 334 of the family's 1533-position model. Lineage: Bacteria; Bacillati; Actinomycetota; Actinomycetes; Actinomycetales. The record is from RNAcentral.